CGGGUGAGUAACACGUGAGUAAGCCGCCCUUGACUCUUGGAAAAGCCUGGGGAACUGGGUCUAAUACCGGAGACAACCAUCUGGCGUAGUCAGGGUGGUGGAAAGCUUUUGUGGUUUUGGAUGGACUCCUGGCCUAUCAGCUUGUUGGUGGGGUAAUGGCCUACCAAGGCGACGACCGGUAGCCCGCCCGAGACGGUGACUAGCCACACUGGGACUGAUACACGGCCCAGACUCCGGCCGGGGGCACCGGUGUGAAAUAUUGCAUAAUGGGCGCAAGCCUGAUGCAGCGACGCCGCGUGAGGGAUGACGGCCUUCGGGUUGUAAACCUCUUUCAGUAGGGAAGAAGCCGUAAGGUGACGGUACCUGCAGAAGAAGCGCCGGCUAACUACGUGCCAGCAGCCGCGGUAAUACGUAGGGCGCAAGCGUUAUCCGGAAUUAUUGGGCGUAAAGAGCUCGUAGGCGGUUUGUCGCGUCUGCUGUGAAAGACCGGGGCUCAACUCCGGUUCUGCAGUGGGUACGGGCAGACUAGAGUGCAGUAGGGGAGACUGGAAUUCCUGGUGUAGCGGUGAAAUGCGCAGA
This 579-nucleotide ribosomal RNA is filed under the name Actinomycetales bacterium RDB-153. Its description in RNAcentral is "bacterial SSU rRNA". It matches the Rfam family "Bacterial small subunit ribosomal RNA", at positions 103 to 694 of the family's 1533-position model. The record is from RNAcentral. Lineage: Bacteria; Bacillati; Actinomycetota; Actinomycetes; Actinomycetales.